UGGGCCACGCCAAGGGAUCCCGACUGCUGACUGCACUGCGGGAGAGGCUUUUCUGGAUUGGGAUGAGCAGAGACAACCACAGAUUUGCCUUUGCAGUGCCAACGAGAGACCAGACGGCAGCUACAACGGUAGCAGUGCUGUGGGGGACAGUGUUUCGGUCCUUUGGGUGCCCAGAGCGGAUCUUGACUGACCAGGGGCCAGCAUUUGAAGCUGACUUGACCCAGCAGCUGUGUACCCUGUAUGGGUGUCGCAAGGUGAGAACAACCCCUUAUCAUCCUCAGGGUAACGGGGCUUGUGAGAGGAUGAACCAGACGAUCCUCAGCCUGCUGAACACCUUGGAGCCAAGGGAGUAUUCUCGGUGGAGAGAACACCUGCCGGGCCUGGUGCAUGCUUAUAACAACACGCCGCACAGUGUGACCGGUUUGGCCCCCUUCUUUGUAGUGUUCGGCAGGCAUGCCCGCUUACCAGUGGACCAGUUGGCCGGGCUGGAGAGGCCAGAGCAACGAGGUCCCUUGCAGGACUGGGUCCAGCAGCACCACGCCCGUCUCCAGAAUGCCUACCAGCUGGUGAAAGAGCGAAAUCAACACCGACAACAACAGGACCAGGGACGACGCAACCAGGGCCCUAAGGCCCAGCCAUUAUUGCCUGGGGAGAGGGUCUUUGUUCGAGACUUCCGCCGCCGGGCCCGAGGGAAGCUGGGGUACCAUUGGGACCCACGACCAUAUGUGGUCCGGAGCCAGCCUACGAGGGACCGCCCUGUGUACGUUAUCCGACCAGAAGGAAGGGAGGGACCUCUGCGCACCCUGCACCAAAACAACUUGUGUGUGCAGCCCAGCAGCUGGCGGAGUGGGGCUCAUGGGGGCGUAGGUGAAUUGGCAGGGAGCCAGCCCACAGUACCGCCUGAAGCAGAACGGGGGCCUGAGAGGGGGUGGUGGCCAGUUUGUUUCCCAUGUGAGCAGGGUCGCCCAGAACCAAGGGAGAACCUGAGGGGGGCUAGGGAAGUAGGGGAAGCCCUCGCUGAGGCUGGGGUGGAGUCUGGGGAUCCUCUGGGACCCCGCCGAUCCCAGCGAGCCAACUUGGGGGUUCGCCCCGCAAGUAUGCAGGGGGAGAACGUUGUGGCAAUAAUUGUGGACUAAUGGACUAAUGGCCACGGAG
This is a long non-coding RNA of Clupea harengus (Atlantic herring), 1155 nucleotides long. Lineage: Eukaryota; Metazoa; Chordata; Actinopteri; Clupeiformes; Clupeidae. The record is from Ensembl.